GGGGGCAACCCUGACGCAGCCACGCCGCGUGCCGGAAGACGGCCCUAUGGGUUGUAAACGGCUUUUGUUGGGGAAGAACCUUCUGGUUUCGACCGGAACUGACGGUACCCAUCGAACAAGCACCGGCUAACUCCGUGCCAGCAGCCGCGGUAAUACGGAGGGUGCAAGCGUUGUCCGGAAUUAUUGGGUGUAAAGGGUGCGCAGGCGUCCCAAAAAGUUUUCGGUGAAAUCUUUCGGCUUAACCGAGGAAGUGCCGGAAAUACUUUUGGGAUUGAGUUCAGAAGAGGUUGGUGGAAUUCGUGGUGUAGCGGUGAAAUGCAUAGAGAUCACGAAGAACACCGGUGGCGAAAGCGGCCAACUGGUCUGACACUGACGCUGAGGCACGAGAGCGUGGGUAGCGAACAGGAUUAGAUACCCUGGUAGUCCACGCUGUAAACGAUGUAUGCUAGAUGUUGGUCCUUCGGGAUCAGUGUCGUAGUUAACGCGCUAAGCAUACCACCUGGGGAGUACGUUCGCAAGAAUG
RNAcentral lists this ribosomal RNA (523 nucleotides) under uncultured bacterium. Its description in RNAcentral is "bacterial SSU rRNA". It matches the Rfam family "Bacterial small subunit ribosomal RNA", at positions 373 to 896 of the family's 1533-position model. The record is from RNAcentral.